RNAcentral lists this ribosomal RNA (431 nucleotides) under uncultured bacterium. Its description in RNAcentral is "partial 16S ribosomal RNA". It matches the Rfam family "Bacterial small subunit ribosomal RNA", at positions 29 to 507 of the family's 1533-position model. The record is from RNAcentral.
AGCGAACGCUGGCGGCAGGCUUAACACAUGCAAGUCGAGCGCCCCGCCAGGGGCGCGGCCGACGGGAGAGUAACACGUGGGAACAUACCUUUUGGUUCGGAACAACUGAGGGAAACUUCAGCUAAUACCGGAUAAGCCCUUACGGGGAAAGAUUUAUCGCCGAAAGAUUGGCCCGCGUCUGAUUAGCUAGUUGGUGAGGUAACGGCUCACCAAGGCGACGAUCAGUAGCUGGUCUGAGAGGAUGAUCAGCCUCACUGGGACUGAGACACGGCCCAGACUCCUACGGGAGGCAGCAGUGGGGAAUAUUGGACAAUGGGGGCAACCCUGAUCCAGCCAUGCCGCGUGAGUGAUGAAGGCCUUAGGGUUGUAAAGCUCUUUUGCCCGGGAAGAUAAUGACGGUACCGGGAGAAUAAGCCCCGGCUAACUUCGUG